AACGAACGCUGGCGGCAGGCUUAACACAUGCAAGUCGAGCGCCCCGCAAGGGGAGCGGCAGACGGGUGAGUAGCGCGUGGGAACGUACCUUUUGGUUCGGAACAACUCCGGGAAACUGGAGCUAAUACCGGAUAAGCCCUAACGGGGAAAGAUUUAUCGCCGAAAGAUCGGCCCGCGUCUGAUUAGCUAGUUGGUGAGGUAACGGCUCGCCAAGGCGACGAUCAGUAGCUGGUCUGAGAGGAUGAUCAGCCACACUGGGACUGAGACACGGCCCAGACUCCUACGGGAGGCAGCAGUGGGGGAUAUUGGACAAUGGGCGCAAGCCUGAUCCAGCCAUGCCGCGUGAGUGAUGAAGGCCUUAGGGUUGUAAAGCUCUUUUGUCCGGGAAGAUAAUGACUGUACCGGAAGAAUAAGCCCCGGCUAACUUCGUG
This 431-nucleotide ribosomal RNA is filed under the name uncultured bacterium. RNAcentral's name for it is "partial 16S ribosomal RNA". It matches the Rfam family "Bacterial small subunit ribosomal RNA", at positions 29 to 507 of the family's 1533-position model. The record is from RNAcentral.